UACGGGGGGGGCAAGCGUUGUUCGGAAUUACUGGGCGUAAAGGGUCUGUAGGUGGCCAACUAAGUCAGACGUGAAAUCCCUCAGCUUAACUGGGGAACUGCGUCUGAUACUGGUUGGCUUGAGUGCAGGAGAGGAACGCGGAAUUCCAGGUGUAGCGGUGAAAUGCGUAGAUAUCAGGAGGAACACCGAUGGCGAAGGCAGGUCUCUGGGCUGACACUGACGCUCAUGCACGAAAGCGUGGGGAGCAAACAGG
RNAcentral lists this ribosomal RNA (253 nucleotides) under uncultured bacterium. RNAcentral's name for it is "partial 16S ribosomal RNA". It matches the Rfam family "Bacterial small subunit ribosomal RNA", at positions 524 to 776 of the family's 1533-position model. The record is from RNAcentral.